GGCAGCAGUAGGGAAUCUUCGUCAAUGGGGGAAACCCUGAACGAGCGAUGCCGCGUGAGUGAUGACGGUCUUUUCGAUUGUAAAACUCUGUGGUUUGGAAAGAACGACCAAAGUAGGAAAUGACUUUGGAGUGACGGUACCAUUCUAGAAAGCCCCGGCUAACUAUGUGCCAGCAGCCGCGGUAAUACAUAGGGGGCGAGCGUUGUCUGGAUUUAUUGGGCGUAAAGCGUGUGUAGGCGGUUUAUUAAGUCUAAGGUUAAAGGCUGAGGCUUAACUUCAGUAUGCCUUGGAAACUGGUAGACUUGAGUAUGGUAGAGGCAAGUGGAAUUUCUAGUGCAGCGGUUAAAUGCGUAGAUAUUAGAAGGAACACCAGUGGCGAAGGCGGCUUGCUGGGCUAUUACUGACGCUGAGACACGAAAGCGUGGGGAGCAAAUAGGAUUAGAUACCCUAGUAGUCCACGCCGUAAACGAUGAGUGCUAAGUGU
This 484-nucleotide ribosomal RNA is filed under the name uncultured Bacillota bacterium. Its description in RNAcentral is "bacterial SSU rRNA". It matches the Rfam family "Bacterial small subunit ribosomal RNA", at positions 347 to 823 of the family's 1533-position model. Lineage: Bacteria; Bacillati; Bacillota. The record is from RNAcentral.